AAUAUCGGACAAUGGGGGCAACCCUGAUCCAGCCAUGCCGCGCGGGUGAAGAAGGUCUUCGGAUUUUAAAGCACUAUAAGUUGGUAGGAAGGGCUGUAGGCUAAUACCCUGAAGUAUUGACGGUACCAACAGUAGAAGCACCGGUUAACUCGGUGCCAGCAGCUGCGGUAAUGCAGAGGGUGCAAGCGUUCAUCGGAAUUACUUGGCGUAAAGCGCGCGUAGGUGGUUCAGUAAGAUGGGUGUGAAAUCCCCGGGCUUAACCUGGGAACUGCUUUCAUAACUGCUGAGCUAGAGUACGGUAGAGGGUAGUGGAAUUUCCUGUGUAGCGGUGAAAUGCGUAGAUAUAGGAAGGAACACCAGUGGCGAAGGCGACUACCUGGACUGAUACUGACACUGAGGUGCGAAAGCGUGGGGAGCAAAC
RNAcentral lists this ribosomal RNA (421 nucleotides) under uncultured bacterium. RNAcentral describes it as "partial 16S ribosomal RNA". It matches the Rfam family "Bacterial small subunit ribosomal RNA", at positions 360 to 773 of the family's 1533-position model. The record is from RNAcentral.